GGUCUUAUAGUUGAAUAACAAUAUUUAAUUGCAGCUUAAAAGGAGUAAAGUUACUGAGAUUU
This 62-nucleotide transfer RNA is filed under the name Tetrastemma olgarum. Its description in RNAcentral is "tRNA-Cys". The record is from RNAcentral. Lineage: Eukaryota; Metazoa; Nemertea; Enopla; Monostilifera; Tetrastemmatidae.